RNAcentral lists this small nuclear RNA (166 nucleotides) under Sinocyclocheilus anshuiensis. Its description in RNAcentral is "U1 spliceosomal RNA (ENSSANG00000043266.1)". It matches the Rfam family "U1 spliceosomal RNA". Rfam says of the family: U1 is a small nuclear RNA (snRNA) component of the spliceosome (involved in pre-mRNA splicing). Its 5' end forms complementary base pairs with the 5' splice junction, thus defining the 5' donor site of an intron. There are significant differences in sequence and secondary structure between metazoan and yeast U1 snRNAs, the latter being much longer (568 nucleotides as compared to 164 nucleotides in human). Lineage: Eukaryota; Metazoa; Chordata; Actinopteri; Cypriniformes; Cyprinidae. The record is from RNAcentral.
AUACUUACCUGGCAGGGGAGACACCAUGAUCAAGAAGGUGGUUCACCCAGGGUGAGGCUCGGCCAUUGCACUCCGGUUGUCACCUUCACCUUCACCUUCAUAAUGUACCAUAGGGCAUUUUUGUUACAUUUUUUGUUAUUUAGUUGCAUUGUUUUAGUGUCACAUA